Molecule: long non-coding RNA, 1144 nt
Organism: Triticum aestivum (bread wheat)
Lineage: Eukaryota; Viridiplantae; Streptophyta; Magnoliopsida; Poales; Poaceae
Exons: 4
Source: RefSeq, a predicted model, not a curated record
UCCCUGUUCAUCUCCUCUCCUUCCCAGGUCAUUCAUUUCGCCCGUUCCCCAUUCUCCUCUUCCUCAGUUGCUUCUGGAGGCGACGGCGGCUUCCGGAGGGCGAUUAGUGCAAGGAGACGAGUUGAUCUGAGGAUGUUGUGCCAAGUUUGCUUCUCUCAUUGCGCGGCGUACAACGACACGACCUUCGGCAUGUUUUUUCGGGAUCCAAACAAAAAAAUUGUGCUGCUGCCCUGCUCUGUGACAGAACGUUUCCCACGGCACUUUGCUGGUGACUUUCUGAACUUCCGAGCUCAUGGCCGACGGUACGUUGUGUAUGUGUACACAGGGGCUGACAACAAGAAAAGAAUUGGUGGUGAUGACUUGUGGAAGUUCAUGAAGGACUUCAACUUGGGACUUGGACAGCUUGUUGUUCUUGUGAUGACUGGGCGCAUUGCAAAAGCAUAUGUGUGUUCCUUUAGUUCUGGCUUUGUUGAUGGAGGUGGAUCUGAAGUAGUACAACAGGAGGAAGAGCAAAUAUGCACGGAUGAAGAGGGACGGGUAGAUGAGGAUGAGAAUGAUGGAAAGGUCAUGGGAGAAGCAACCAUAUAUAGGCAUGAUAUACAACACGGGUGUGAUUUUGGAUUUGGAUGAGGAAGACCAGCUUGCCAGGAUCAUCGACAUUGAGCAGGGGAACAUUGGUUCACGGUUUGUUCAUCGUUUCACACGCACCAACACCAGGAAGAAGUCAAUGAAAAUCCCCAACAAAGUGCGUGUGCUCCUGAAUAUUGGAGCUGAAGGUUUUAUUGGUGUUCGUUUGGGAGAAGGCCCGGUCUCCAGGGUUGGAUUCAAAACAUCCAAGGAUGGACGCAUGGUUUUCAGUAAGGAGUGGGGAAUUUUCGUGUCAACUCACAACUUGGAGGCAGGGAGUGCUGCUGUUUUCACCUUUCGUAGGAGCAAUACGGCCACCUUUGACGUGGUUUGUGUUGUUGACAUUCUGAGCAUAUGAGCUUAGUUUCUACUUCCAUGCUAGCCAUCUACAUUUUUCUGGUCUUUGUGCCAUGCGUGAUUUCCAUGAAACUUGUUAAAGUUUGCUAUUUCUUAUGUUGAAUGCACUUUUAUGGCGGGGGAUUUGAACCUCGCUCCUCAAGGGAUUAUGCUACCCGCU